RNAcentral lists this ribosomal RNA (253 nucleotides) under uncultured bacterium. Its description in RNAcentral is "partial 16S ribosomal RNA". It matches the Rfam family "Bacterial small subunit ribosomal RNA", at positions 524 to 776 of the family's 1533-position model. The record is from RNAcentral.
UACGAAGGGGGCUAGCGUUGUUCGGAAUUACUGGGCGUAAAGCGUGCGCAGGCGGCUUCUCAAGUCAGGGGUGAAAGCCCAGAGCUUAACUCUGGAAUUGCCUUUGAGACUGAGAGGCUUGAGUACGGGAGAGGUGAGUGGAAUUCCCAGUGUAGAGGUGAAAUUCGUAGAUAUUGGGAAGAACACCGGUGGCGAAGGCGGCUCACUGGCCCGUAACAGACGCUCAUGCACGACAGCGUGGGGAUCAAACAGG